AUGAAUGAACAACUGCAAAAAGAGUAUACGACCGCAGAAGUCAAGAAGGCCUUAUUUGAUAUGGCCCCUUCAAAGGCUCCGGGCGUGGACGGCUUUACAGCUGGAUUUUACCAACGGCAUUGGGAUGUGCUAGGCGAAGAUAUCUCACGUGAUGUGUUGGAUUUCUUGAACGGUGGAGAAUUACCGUUUGGUCUAAAUGACACCUCGAUCACGUUGAUACCCAAGGUUCGGAAUCCCCAGAGGAUUUCCCAGUUUCGCCCUAUCGCUCUAUGUCCGGUCUUAUAUAAAAUUGCUGCCAAGGCGAUAGCAAACAGGGUGCGACUGAUUCUUGAUGAAGUUAUUGGCGAGGAACAGAGCGCUUUCAUCCCGGGGCGGUUGAUCAUCGAGAAUGUGCUCGUUGCCUACGAAAGUGUCCACACUAUCAGAAGGAGGAAAAGAGGCAAAAACUCGUGUUGCGCUGUCAAACUUGACAUGCUGAAAGCCUAUGAUAGGGUGGAGUGGCAUUACCUAGAAGCCAUGAUGAGCAAGCUAGGUUUCAAUGCUAGUUUUAUCAGUCUAGUGAUGAAAUGCGUGACUUCUGUCAGAUUCACGAUUAAGGUCAAUGGCGAGCUCUUACCAUUCUUUGAUCCAUCCAGAGGUCUCCGCCAAGGAUGCCCAUUGUCACCUUACUUAUUUCUCAUCUGCACUCAAGGACUAACAUCAUUGUUAAAUCAUUUUGGUGGCCCGCAGAUUGACAGAGGAAUCCGGGUUAGUUUCAACUCACCUUGGGUAUCUCAUUUAUUGUUCGCUGACGACAGUUUAAUCUUCCUGAGUGCAAAUGUUCAGAGUGCCCUCAGACUGAACAACGUUCUUCAGAUUUAUGCUGACUGUUCGGGACAAGCUGUUAACCGGGAGAAGAGUUCUAUCUUUUUCAGCGGUAACACAGAUGCAACUGUUCAUGGAGAGUUGAAGCGCAUCCUUGGCAUUGCAGUUUAAGCGUUUUCAGAGCGCUACUUGGGCUUACCAACUGCAGUUGGCCGAAUCACAAGCGGCUCGUUUGAGCACAUCAUUGAGAGGAGCGGGAAAAUGCAAGGAUGGUCCGAACGGAAUAUGGCUUGUGCUGCACGCGAAGUCCUGCUCAAAUCCAUCACACAAUCAAUUCCGACGUUCAGUAUGAGUUGUUUCUUGUUGACAAAGAAGGUAUGUAAGGGGUUAACCUCUGUCAUGGCCAAGUAUUGAUGGGAAAGCUCUUUGGACAAGCGAUCCCUUCACUGGGUUUCCUGGAAGAAUCUUGCAACACCCAAAGCAAAGGGCGGGAUGGGCUUCAAAGACUUACAUCUUUUUAAUCUUGCCAUGUUGGGGAAGCAAGGAUGGCGUUUGAUCACCCAUCCGGAUUCCUUAUGCUCCAAAGUUUUAAAGGGGAAGUAG
RNAcentral lists this ribosomal RNA (1407 nucleotides) under Triticum aestivum (bread wheat). RNAcentral describes it as "partial small subunit ribosomal RNA". Lineage: Eukaryota; Viridiplantae; Streptophyta; Magnoliopsida; Poales; Poaceae. The record is from RNAcentral.